Molecule: long non-coding RNA, 303 nt
Filed under: Helianthus annuus (common sunflower)
Lineage: Eukaryota; Viridiplantae; Streptophyta; Magnoliopsida; Asterales; Asteraceae
Description: sRNA HanXRQr2_Chr12g0562601
Source: RNAcentral
UUGUUUUGUGUUGAAGCUUGAACUUGUCCUUUGCAUGUCCUUUUGUUGUGUCCCGGUUUUUUGCAGAUAUCACAAGUUACAGUGUUACCCUUCCUUGCCAUGUGACCUGUCUUUGCCAUAUGUUCGCUCAACUCAAGUGUUGAUCUCUUUCUUUUUUUCUUAGGCCUACCAACUUGAGUGUGAUGCUUGGGAGGUGUUAAUGUUGUUGGACAUGCGGAGGGUGUCCACAUUUCCCUUCCAUUUAUUGGUGUCAAUGGACCAGAACAUUUUUCAAUAUCCAGCUGAACAUUCAUAAUUCUUUUC